GUCGUCAUCCCAUCGGCGCCGGAAUCCAUCCCACUUCCUUUUUGUUGCGCAUAAUAACAGGGAGUCUCCGUAUGUAGCGACGGUCGCGGCCCCCUUCCUACGACCUUUGGAAGCAGAUCCCGCGUAAGAUGCCCCUACUUCUUCAACCAGCUAGAUGAGGAUCCAUGUCCUUCGUGUCCUAGCCGCUACCCUCUGGACAGGUUUCUCUCUUUUCCUCUUACCUUCUCUCCCUCUGUAUGUGUGUGCAUGAGUCUGUCUGUAUUCUUCUGAUUAGUCACUACUGAUGUUUACAUUAAUUGACAUGUUAUGCAGGACGAGUAUUGUGCAGGAAGCCCCCAUUAGUAGGUUUAUAUUAUGGUUUGGCUUUGGCGUCUGUAUAUGUUUAUUCCCAAUUAGGAAUCAGCUACUGUACCAUAGUAGCAUGUCUCUCAUUCUGAAUCUCAAACGUAUUUUAGAAAUCUCAUAUUAAUCAUUUAAUUUAUGACAUAAUUGGAGAAUCCUCAAACAAAAUUUGUUGAUUUGAUGGUUGCAAACCUUGAUGUUUCAAUUUUUCAAAUGCCAUGUAAUGUUUCUCAUAGGCUAGACAUAUAUAUGUUGGCUUAAAUUUACAUUUGUGCUUGGCUCUCUACCUAAAUUCAAUUUCUUCCUUUAUUUUUGUUGGUUUGAUGAUGCAUUUCUCUCAGAGCUUAGUUAUACUAUUGUUAGAUGAAUUUAAUCUUGGACUGGUCUGAUUUCCAUCCCAUGAGCAUGUAUUGAUUUAUUCUCCCAUGGGAAGUAUCUGCUCCAUGCUCCAGUUUGGUCACAUUUAGUCAAUUAUCUGAAUUUAAAUAGAUUGCCCAUAUGCAGAGGUUAAGCAUUGUAUUUUUUAUUUUCAUUUCAGCCCCAUAUUUACCUGUUUAGGGCAUAGUUGUCCUACAAGCUAAAUACUCGUUUCGAGCCAAGAUUAUGUGUCGCCGGCUUCCCCUCUCCAUACACGAUCACCAGUGACACAUGCAUCAACGAGCUUGGUUCUCUCCUGUAAGUAUUCUGUUGGAUAAUGAGCAACUACAAUUACUGAGGGCCAAAAGCCAGUACAUAUACAUGUGUGGUAAAUGACAUAAAGGCUCUUUAUACACUGGGGAUGUACACAAGUGACUAUACAUAUAUAACACCCCCCUCAAACUCAUGGUGGAUCAACAACACUGAGUUUGGAGAGAAAGAAGCCAUGCUGCGCUCGAGUCUGUGCCUUCGUGAAGAAGUCAGCCAACUGUAACUUAGAGGGCACAUAGUGAAGAGCAAGAGUCUGAUCCUGCACAGCAGCACGCACAAAGUGGGCAUCCACGCCGAUGUGCUUGGUGAGCUCAUGCUUCACCGGGUCAUGCGCAAUGCUGAUAGCACAUGUACUAUCAGACAGUAGGGGAGUCGAGGUAGUAGCAGACACACCAAAAUCCUCAAGUAACCACCGUAACCAGAUCACCUCAGCCGUCAACAUAGCCAUGGCUCGCAACUCAGCCUCUGUACUCGAGCGAGAAACCGCAGUCUGUUUCUUUGUCUUCCAGGCAAUAAGAGAGCCGCCAAGAAAGACACAGUAAGCAGACAGCGAGCGUCGAUCAGAGGGAUCACUAGCCCAGGUAGCAUCAGAGUAGGCCUGGAGCUCAAGAGAGCUGGAGCGGGGAAAGAAAAGGCGCUGAGAGAUCGUGCCACGAAGAUAGCGUAGAACACGGAGGAGGUGACUAUAGUGGACAGAGGUGGGGGCUGAAACGAACUGACUCAGGAUAUGGACAAGAUAGGAGAUGUCAGGACGCGUAACAGCAAGAUAGACAAGGCUACCAACAAGGUGACGAUAGCGAGUGGGAUUAGGAAGAGGGUCACCAUCGGAGGCACGAAGCUGAACGUUGAGCUCCAUAGGAGUCACAACUGUGCACUCAUCACCGAGAGCAGCGCGAGCAAGAAGAUCCUGAAUAUAUUUCUCUUGGGAGAUGUAGAAGCCAUCAAAGGUCGAGGAGAUCUCAAUCCCAAGAAAAUAGCAAAGUGGACCAAGAUCAGUCAUGAGGAACUGGUCGCGAAGGUGAGCCUUAACAAAGGCAAUGUAAUCAGAGUCGUCACCAGUAAUGAUCAUGUCAUCAACAUAGAGAAGGAGAAGAGUCCGACCACGAGGAGACAUGUGGACAAACAACGCGGGAUCAUGAUCACUGGGCAAGAAACCAGCGGCAGUCACCACAGAGGCUAAGCGCUCAAACCAGGCGCGAGGGGCCUGUUUGAGCCCAUAGAGAGAGCGACGAAGUCUACAGACCAUGCCAUCAGGAGCAUAGUACCUCGGUGGUGGCUGCAUGUAAACCUCCUCACGUAACUCGCCAUUGAGAAAGGCAUUCUGGACAUCAAGUUGAGAGAUAGACCAAUGACGAACAACAUCUACAACAAGAAGAGUGCGGACAAUGGUCAUGUGGGCCACAGGGGCGAAUGUCUCAUCAUAAUCGCGUCCCUGCUCCUGCUGGAAACCACGAGCCACAAGACGAGCUUUGUAACGCUCAAGAGAACCAUCGGAACGAGUCUUGACUUUGUAGAACCAUUUGCAGGUGAUGGGACGAACACCAGAAGGGAGGGAAACCAGAUCCCAUGUGCCAGAGCGCUCAAGAGCAGCAAGCUCUUCGGCCAUCGCAAGCUGCCAUUCAGGCUGAGUCAUGGCAGUCCGAUAGGAGGGGGGCUCAGCAAGAACAGAGAGACCGUAUCGAUCAGGAGAGUAGCGAUUCGGCGGAGGGCGAGGCCGGGCACGGAGGUUGUGGACCGGGGUAGGCGUGAAUAGAGGUUCACCAAAGGUAGAAGGGGCGUCAGACACGUCAGGAGAAGCAUCCUCAGUACGAGGACGACGAGUAUAGUGGAGAGGAAACGGUGAGAGAGGGCGACUGACGGGAGAGGACGAUGGAGAGGUGGAGGAGGAGGAAGGGGUAGAUGGGGGCGGUGGUGAAGGAGAUGGAAGGCGAGGUGUAGGAGGAGGAGAGGACAUAGGAGGCACAUAGCCGGAUGUAUCAGGAAGGAGAAGGAAAGAAAUAUCGUCCACAGAGAAGCUCGAGGAAGAAGGACGUGGGUAGUAAGAGCAGGACUCGUCAAAGGUCACAUCUCGCGAGAUGCGCAAGCGGCGACCAACAGGGUCCCAACAUCGAUAACCCUUGUGCUCAUCACUGUAACCAAGGAAAACACACUCAACCGACUGGGCAGUCAGUUUGGUGCGUUCCCGCGGGGCAAGGAGGACAUAGCACACACAUCCAAACAUACGAAGAGCAGAGUAGUCAGGAGAGCGACCAGUGAGAUACUCCAUAGGAAUACCACCCUGCAGAGCAGUCGAUGGCUGAAUGUUGACGAGAUAGGUGGAUGCAGAGACAGCCUCGGCCCAAAAGUGGGGUGGAAGAGACGCGGCAAUCAUCAGUGCACGAGCCGUCUCAAGCAGAUGACGAUGCUUACUUCGGCAACGCCAUUCUGAGCAUGAGCACCAGGACAUGAGAACUGGGCAAGAGUACCCUGUUCCGCCAGAAAACCACGCAACAUCUGAGAGAUAUACUCUCCAGCGGAGUCAGCACGAAAAGUACGAAUGGGCGUGGAAAACUGGGUGUGAACCAUGGCAGCAAAUCGUUUGUAUAUAGAGAGAACCUCGCUACGAGAUUUCAUGAAGUAGAGCCAAGUGUAACGAGAGAAAUCAUCAAUAAACAAAACAUAGUAGCGAUGAUCACCUUUCGAAUCAAAGGGAGCAGGGCCCCAGACAUCAGAAUGAACUAAGUCAAAAGGACGUUGAGAUACAGACUCGCUAGUAGGAUACGGUAACUGGGUCUGUUUGCCAAGCCGGUAACCAUUACAAUGUAAGGGGACAUCUCCAGAUACAGACCCUAAGAGGCCCUGGCGAACUAAAGAAGACAAGCGAGAGCCGCAGAUGUGACCAAGGCGAUGAUGCCACUGCUGAAAGGACGCAGACGAAGAAGCAACAAGAGCAUGGGAGCUGGCAGAAGUGGUGGCAGCGGAAGGAACACAAAGCCAGUCAACCUCCCAAAGGCCCUCUGACUCACGGCACCGGGGGCCAGCACCAACCAAAGUCUUGGUGCGACGAUCCUGGAUGGAGCAAGAGUCGGUAUCAAGAAUGACACGACAACCAGAAUCAGUAAGUUGGGCAGCAGAAAAAAGAUUCAUUGUAAGGCGAGGAACAUGUGAAACAUUAGAAACAGAAAAGGAUGGAGUGGAAAGAAGACCACGACCAGUAACAGGAAGCGGUGUGCCAUCGGCAGUAAGAACAUUAACAGGCGAAUCAAGAGGUCGAAGGGAAGACAACACAGAAGAAUCAGAAGACAUAUGGAAGGAGGCUCCAGAAUCCAGAACCCACGAAGAUGUACCUGAUUGCGUAGAUGUCUGCGGUGGUGGAGCAGUGGAUGCAGUCACAGUAGCAGCGGAACCAGUCGACGAGGAGCCGGAGGAAGCCAAGAGACGCUUGAGCCUCACAAUGUCCUGGUCAGUGAGUGACGGAGUCGAGGAAGAUACAGGAGUCCCACUGGAAGAGGAGCGCCUCUGGUCACGCUUCUUCUCACGGCAAUCAGACUCUUGAUGACCUGGCCGAGAGCAAUAGCCACAGAAGGUGUCACGGCGCGAUAGGCCCCUCUCAGUAUAAGCAGGGCGACCCACCCCCCGGAAGGUGUGGGGAGUAGCGGUGGAGUGGUGAGCCGAGCAGACGACACAGGAGCCCGAGCAGCUAACACAGACGGGACCACCGGCAAACCGGCAGAGCGAAGGCGGGUCUCUUCAGCACGAAGCUCGGCAAGUACCUCCGAGAUAGGAACACGACCACGAGCCAGCAAGUGAGCACGUCGGGGCUCAAACUCAGAGCGGAGACGUGAUAAGAACUCAUGAACCCGCUGAAACUCCAAGUCGGACCGAGUAGUUUGAUAGCAACGGCAAGUUCCACAAACAACUGUCCGCAGGGAGUCAAGCUGACGCCGGAUGGCAGAGCACUGUGAAUAGAACUCAUCAACAGACGAGUCACCCUGCUGAAGAGCAUGCUCCUGACGCACCACAGAGAGGUAGAGAGCAUCUCCAGAGGGUUGAUAGCGCUGACAAAGAUAGGACCACAUUGCUGCAACAGUGCCGAGACCCAUGAACUCUGAGGCAAACUGAGGGAGGACACUCGCAGUAAGAACAGCAACAGCUCGAGCAUCAUCAUUGCACCACUGAGUGUAAGCAGACAGAUCAUCCCGGUAGGCAGAAAGAGCAUCAGAAUAGGCGGAUACCUGCUGAUCAUAAACAUCAACCGCAGCAUCAUCGAGAGCCUUGGCGGCAUCCCGGUCAGCCUGAGAAGCCUCAGCAGCAAGGACCGGCGGUACUGGUGGCAUUGGGGCCACUGGCGCAACCGGGCAUGGCGGACAAGGGACCUCGCCAGAGAGAACACCCCACAGAAGGAGUCCACGCAUAUGGAUGCGCAUGAAGCCCACAAACUCAGCAUAGUUGGUGCCAUUGAAGAUCACCGAGCACCGAGGAACCGCGACAUAGCCCGAAGAGGACAUGAGAAAGUCACUCUGCUGCUAUUGUUCCUCUUUUUUUGGUCAACGGGCCCUCAGCUGGAUCUGGAUCGAGAGGAGCGCUCGAAUCAGGGAGCGAGCAAGAGAACCAGCGAACGCAGCCAGGGAGGCAGGGGGCAGGGACGACCAGCCAGGGUGGAGGAGAGGCCGGUGCCGUACCGGGCUGCGGCGGCCGGACCGGGCUGUGGCGGCGGUGGCGGCGGCGUACCGGGUUGUGGCGGCGGCGGCCGGACCAGGCAAGUGCGGAGGCGGCCGAACUGGCAGUGGCACCGGCCAAAAUGGAGAGAAGACAGGGCGGUGGAGGCAAGGCGCACUCCCGUGCGAGCUGCCAAAAUGGAGAGAAGCAGAGGAGACCAACCAAGAGCAUCGGGCUGCAACCAAGAGCGCCCGCGCGAGCGGACACGGACAGUAGGACGACGAGCAGAACGACGGCCAAAGACUAGGGAUGGAGCCUAGAUGCAGCGGCGACGAGUAUGGAGCACACACGGAGUUGCAUCGUGCGGGAGAGAGGGAAACCUAACAUCUGAUACCAUGUUGGAUAAUGAGCAACUACAAUUACUGAGGGCCAAAGGCCAGUACAUAUACAUGUGUGGUAAAUGACAUAAAGGCCCUUUAUACACUGGGGAUGUACACAAGUGACUAUACACAUCUAACAUAUUCCUCCACCCUCCUCCCAUUUCUCUUCCUUUUCCUCGUCCGAAAAUCUAGGUUUUUCAGAUCUCCAUCUCUCCCAGGCUCCCCUUUUCCUGAUUCUCUUGUUUUGUUAUGUUAGAUGAUUGUAAAAUUAACAAGAGUUUCUUGUAAAAAAUAUUGUUGUUUAGGCACAAUGCCACUGCAUGCUAAGAUUAUUGUUGUGUAGUAACUUCAAUAUUUCCCCCUCCUUUUUCUACAAAAUGUGUAAAUGUUGUUAGAUUUAGGGGAAACAUUAGAUUUUGUUUGAAAAGCCUUCAGAUAUCUUUGUCAUUAGGAUAUCAAAGUUCAGUAAUGUUGCUGCUCUGAAAUAGUAUUAAUCAUAUAAGAAGUGUCAACUACUUGUACACUCUAGUAUUUUUAUGAAGAAUCAAGGAAAAAGGCCAUCAAAUCGCCUUGAGGUUGGGAGCAGCGGCAACAUCGAUAAAGUCAUAACCAGAUAGGUAUCAUAUAUAUCUAGUCUUGCAUGAAGUGAUUUUUGUUUUCCAUACAAGGUCAGUUGCACGGCUUCACCUUCAGUUUCCCAAACUAAGCUUCGAUCUCCUUAAAUACUAUCACUAGACAAUAACAUUUGUUUUCCCUCCUUGUUUUCAGUCAACAGAGUAAUUUGUCAUAAUAAAAUUAGUUGUGCAUGUAGCAACUUACCAUGCCUUCAAGUGAAUUUUUUUUUGACCGUGAUGCCUUCAAGUGAAAUUAAAUUUAGUCAACUUACUAAAUUUGAACCGGUAUCGCAAAUUGUGCCUACAAGCUCAGUUAUUGGGGCUUAUUCUUUCCUUCAUGAUAUUAUGUCUAGUAGCCUCCACCGCAGACCAUAUUUAGGAGUUACUUGUUCAAUUCAUUCUAUAUCAAAUAUAUAAAGCAUGGUGCAGGAAAUAUCCUUGCUAAUCAGUUCAAGUGCCAUACUCUUGUUUUCUGUCCCAAUCGCACGUAUAUACAGUCCAUUAUAUGAUAUAGAAGAAUGACUUUGUUGUAGUGAGAGUUUGACACUUAAACUGAUUUGCAGGAUUUUUUUUAGAUAUCUUCCCACUGAUUUGUAAAAAUGAGUCUUUUUCUCGUGUUUAUCUGCCGCCAUGUUAAGGACAGCUAGCAAGGCUCUACCUACUUGUGUGCUAUUCUCGCAUGCUUUAGCUGGACUAUGUAUUAUCCUUCUGGUCACACCAGCAAAAUGGUUGGGUAUUGCUUGGUUUGCAUGAUAAGAGAUAUGUCUGUACAUGGUUUUGUUUGUAAAAUGCUCUCUCUGGUUGCCAUAUCUCUCGAUUUGGAAAAUGCUAUGUGCUAGAAGCUGAAACAAUAGUGUGAAAAGAAACAGUAGUGUAUUUGGGGUCAAUGUUGCAGGAGGAUGGGGGUAUUGAUGAAGAUGUGAACCAUCGAAUCAAAGCCGGAUGGAUGAAGUGGCGCCAAGCUUCUGGCAUUCUCUAUGACAAGAGAGUGCCACAAAAGCUAAAAGGCAAGUUCUACAGGACGGCGGUUCGACCCGCAAUGUUGUAUGGCGCGGAGUGUUGGCCGACUAAAAGGCGACAUGUUCAACAGUUAGGUGUGGCGGAGAUGCGUAUGUUGAGAUGGAUGUGUGGCCACACGAGGAAGGAUCGAGUCCGGAAUGAUGAUAUACGAGAUAGAGUUGGGGUUGCACCAAUUAAGGAGAAGCUUGUCCAACAUCGUUUGAGAUGGUUUGGGCAUAUUUAGCGCAGGCCUCCAGAAGCUCCAGUGCAUAACGGACGGCUAAAGCGUGCGGAGAAUGUCAAGAGAGGGCGGGGUCGACCGAUUUUGACAUGGGAGGAGUCCGUUAAGAGAGACCUGAAGGAUUGGAGUAUCGACAAAGAGCUAGCUAUGGACAGGGGUGCGUGGAAGCUUGCUAUCCAUGUGCCAGAGCCAUGAGUUGGUUGCGAGAUCUUAUGGGUUUCACCUCUAGCCUACCCCAACUUGUUUGGGACUAAAGGCUUUGUUGUUGUUGUUUGUUGUUGAUGAUAUCUUCUGUUCUUUCACCAGCGAGAAGACAAGUGUGCAGAAAUCUUCCUACGAAAUCUUGGUAUGGUUAAGCUGGCAAUUUCCUUCACAAUCUAGGCAAAAGACAUUCUGGCAGCCAUUCUACUUGCUGCACUGCAUUUUCAUGUCUUUUCAUUCCACAUGAACACGAUCAUGUGUUUUCACAAAUGUUGAAGCUAUGGCCAUUCAUAUCUUGUAUUCUGCUGAAAUGGUGAAUGUAAAUACUGCUUACUAUAAUUUUGUGCCAAAAUUAUUUGAAUUUUCUGGUUGUCACCAAACCUGUGUGAAAAA
This 8495-nucleotide long non-coding RNA is filed under the name Triticum aestivum (bread wheat). RNAcentral's name for it is "long non-coding RNA (TAES_LNC016029)". The record is from RNAcentral. Lineage: Eukaryota; Viridiplantae; Streptophyta; Magnoliopsida; Poales; Poaceae.